UGUUGCUGCCAAACCUCCUUGUCAAAGCCUGAUAUCGUCAGGUCUCAAAAGCUAAGCAGAGCUGGGCCUGGUUAGUAUUUCGAUGGGAAACGCUGGGAAUGCCAGGCGCCACAGACG
RNAcentral lists this ribosomal RNA (117 nucleotides) under Periophthalmus magnuspinnatus. Lineage: Eukaryota; Metazoa; Chordata; Actinopteri; Gobiiformes; Gobiidae. The record is from RNAcentral.